AUGGGAAAUGGCCUUGUUGAGAGGUUUAAUAGAACCCUAGGCAGCAUGAUCAGAGCGCUCCCGGCGAGGUCUAAGGAAAAGUGGUCCCAGUUGCUCCAGACACUGACCUUUGCGUACAACUGUACCGCACACGAAUCCACAGGUUAUGCUCCAUUUUACCUGAUGUUUGGUAGAAUCCCGAAGCUGCCCGUGGAUGUGAUGUUUGGCAACGUUGUAAGAGACUGUGAAAUUGUUGGUUACGACAAGUAUGUAAAGAGGUUAAAAGAUGAUCUAAAAGAAGCACUUACAGUUGCUCAGAAAAACAUUGAUGCCAGUCAGCAACAUCAGGCUGAGUUGUAUAAUCAAAGGGCAAAAGGUCUUAACAUUGAGCUGGGUGAUCAAGUUCUGCUGGCCAACAAGGGUGAGCGUGGGAAAAGAAAACUGGCAGACAGGUGGGAGUCCACGCCCUAUAGGGUAGUUGCGCUAAACCCACAGUGUCACAUUUACCGUAUACGUAACACCAAGACAGGUCAGGAGAAAACUGUUCACCGCAAUUUGCUGUUGCAAGCAAACUUCCUUCCACUUGAGUUUGGGGAAUCUGAAUCAUUUGAGGACAGUGGUGAAUCUGCCCUUAGCAGUAGAAGUUUAUCAAUGGAUGUUGUUGGUUCUGCAUCUGAUUUGUGUCCUUUGUCGGAACGAGUCGCCAGUUGGGUUGAAAGGACCGCAGUUUCUGAUGACCCUCAGCAGAGGUUGUCCUGCAGAUCUGAAAGCCUUGAAUCAUUGAACGAAGUCUUGGAGUCAACCGGACAUGAGCAAUUAGCUGCAAAGAAUGAUUGUACCAAGGUGGAAAAUACUGUAAGCAGUCCAGAUGAAAGACAGAGCCGCGAUUCUUGCAGUUCUGUUUCUGAGGCAAUUGGCCAUAGUGACCAUAGCGGUUCACCUCUUGGAGCUGUUGAGCCACCUCCUGGUUCAGGGGAUAUGAGAGUUCGGACCAGAGUAGGUAGGAUUGUGAAACCAGUCAACAGACUGAUCGAGAACAUGACUCAAUCUAUCAAAACUCUGAACCCAGUUAGUGGGGUUGUAAGAUCAUUUUUGAGAUGA
RNAcentral lists this long non-coding RNA (1080 nucleotides) under Carassius auratus (goldfish). RNAcentral's name for it is "lncRNA (ENSCARG00000036230.1)". The record is from RNAcentral. Lineage: Eukaryota; Metazoa; Chordata; Actinopteri; Cypriniformes; Cyprinidae.